This 531-nucleotide ribosomal RNA is filed under the name Moesziomyces parantarcticus. Its description in RNAcentral is "LSU rRNA". It matches the Rfam family "Eukaryotic large subunit ribosomal RNA", at positions 65 to 599 of the family's 3401-position model. The record is from RNAcentral. Lineage: Eukaryota; Fungi; Basidiomycota; Ustilaginomycetes; Ustilaginales; Ustilaginaceae.
CUACAGGAUUCCCCUAGUAACGGCGAGUGAAGAGGGAAGAGCCCAAGAUUGAAAGCUGGCGUCUUCGGCGUCCGCAUUGUAAUCUCAAGAAGUGUUUUCCGCUUCGGACCAAGCCUAAGUCCCUUGGAAAAGGGCAUCAUAGAGGGUGAUAAUCCCGUACAUGGCUUGGAGCGCCCGAGGCUUUGUGAUACGCUUUCUAAGAGUCGAGUUGUUUGGGAAUGCAGCUCAAAAUGGGUGGUAAAUGCCAUCUAAGGCUAAAUAUUGGGGAGAGACCGAUAGCGAACAAGUACAGUGAUGGAAAGAUGAAAAGAACUUUGAAAAGAGAGUUAAACAGUACGUGAAAUUGCCAAAAGGGAAGGGUAGGAGGUCAGAGAUGCGGCCUGGGAUUCAGCCUUGCUUUUGCUUGGUGUUUUUCCCAGAUUGCAGGCCAACGUCGGUUUUGGGCACUGGAGAAGGGUAGGAGGAACGUGGCACCCCUCGGGGUGUGUUAUAGCCUCCUACUGGAUACAGCGACCGAGACCGAGGACAGCA